AUCCCUGUAGCGCAAUGGAUAGCGCGUUGACCUUCUAAUUCAAAGGCUGUGGGUUAGAAUCCUCCCUGGGAUG
Molecule: non-coding RNA, 73 nt
Organism: Trichonephila inaurata madagascariensis
Lineage: Eukaryota; Metazoa; Arthropoda; Arachnida; Araneae; Nephilidae
Source: the annotation of a GenBank genome assembly